Molecule: ribosomal RNA, 433 nt
Filed under: uncultured bacterium
Lineage: Bacteria
Description: partial 16S ribosomal RNA
Rfam family: Bacterial small subunit ribosomal RNA
Source: RNAcentral
AACGAACGCUGGCGGCAUGCCUAACACAUGCAAGUCGAACGAGACCUUCGGGUCUGGUGGCGCACGGGUGCGUAACGCGGGGGAACCUGCCCUUAGGUUCGGAAUAACUCCCCGAAAGGGGUGCUAAUACCGGAUAAUGUCGCCGGACCAAAGGUUUAUCGCCUUUGGAUGGGCCCGCGUUGGAUUAGCUAGUUGGGAGGGUAAAAGCGUACCAAGGCGACGAUCCAUAGCUGGUCUGAGAGGAUGAUCAGCCACACUGGGACUGGGACACGGCCCAGACUCCUACGGGAGGCAGUAGUGGGGAAUAUUGGACAAUGGGCGAAAGCCUGAUCCAGCAAUGCCGCGUGAGUGAUGAAGGCCUUAGGGUUGUAAAGCUCUUUUACCCGGGAUGAUAAUGACAGUACCGGGAGAAUAAGCUCCGGCUAACUCCGUG